GACGAACGCUGGCGGCGUGCCUAAUACAUGCAAGUAGAACGCACAGUAUAUACCGUAGCUUGCUACACCAUAGACUGUGAGUUGCGAACGGGUGAGUAACGCGUAGGUAACCUGCCUGGUAGCGGGGGAUAACUAUUGGAAACGAUAGCUAAUACCGCAUAAUAUUAAUUAUUGCAUGAUAAUUGAUUGAAAGAUGCAACUGCAUCACUACCAGAUGGACCUGCGCUGUAUUAGCUAGUAGGUGAGGUAACGGCUCACCUAGGCGACGAUACAUAGCCGACCUGAGAGGGUGACCGGCCACACUGGGACUGAGACACGGCCCAGACUCCUACGGGAGGCAGCAGUAGGGAAUCUUCGGCAAUGGACGAAAGUCUGACCGAGCAACGCCGCGUGAGUGAAGAAGGUUUUCGGAUCGUAAAGCUCUGUUGUAAGAGAAGAAACGGGUG
Molecule: ribosomal RNA, 446 nt
Filed under: Streptococcus gordonii
Lineage: Bacteria; Bacillati; Bacillota; Bacilli; Lactobacillales; Streptococcaceae
Description: bacterial SSU rRNA
Rfam family: Bacterial small subunit ribosomal RNA
Source: RNAcentral